This 791-nucleotide ribosomal RNA is filed under the name uncultured bacterium. RNAcentral's name for it is "bacterial SSU rRNA". It matches the Rfam family "Bacterial small subunit ribosomal RNA", at positions 8 to 796 of the family's 1533-position model. The record is from RNAcentral.
AGAGUUUGAUCAUGGCUCAGAUUGAACGCUGGCGGCAUGCCUUACACAUGCAAGUCGAACGGCAGCACGGACUUCGGUCUGGUGGCGAGUGGCGAACGGGUGAGUAAUACAUCGGAACGUGUCCUGGAGUGGGGGAUAGCCCGGCGAAAGCCGGAUUAAUACCGCAUACGCUCUGUGGAGGAAAGCGGGGGAUCGCAAGACCUCGCGCUCAAGGGGCGGCCGAUGGCAGAUUAGCUAGUUGGUGGGGUAAAGGCCUACCAAGGCGACGAUCUGUAGCUGGUCUGAGAGGACGACCAGCCACACUGGGACUGAGACACGGCCCAGACUCCUACGGGAGGCAGCAGUGGGGAAUUUUGGACAAUGGGCGCAAGCCUGAUCCAGCAAUGCCGCGUGUGUGAAGAAGGCCUUCGGGUUGUAAAGCACUUUUGUCCGGAAAGAAAACUUCCUGGUUAAUACCCGGGGAGGAUGACGGUACCGGAAGAAUAAGCACCGGCUAACUACGUGCCAGCAGCCGCGGUAAUACGUAGGGUGCAAGCGUUAAUCGGAAUUACUGGGCGUAAAGCGUGCGCAGGCGGUUCGUUAAGACAGAUGUGAAAUCCCCGGGCUUAACCUGGGAACUGCAUUUGUGACUGGCGGACUCGAGUAUGGCAGAGGGGGGUAGAAUUCCACGUAGCAGUGAAAUGCGUAGAGAUGUGGAGGAAUACCGAUGGCGAAGGCAGCCCCCUGGGCCAAUACUGACGCUCAUGCACGAAAGCGUGGGGAGCAAACAGGAUUAGAUACCCUAGUAGUCC